GCCUUCGUGGUGUAGUGGUCAGCACGCUGGACGCGUAACCUAAAUGUCCAUGGUUCGAUUCCCGGCUAAGGCG
RNAcentral lists this transfer RNA (73 nucleotides) under Stegodyphus mimosarum. It matches the Rfam family "tRNA". From Rfam's summary of the family: Transfer RNA (tRNA) molecules are approximately 80 nucleotides in length. Their secondary structure includes four short double-helical elements and three loops (D, anti-codon, and T loops). Further hydrogen bonds mediate the characteristic L-shaped molecular structure. tRNAs have two regions of fundamental functional importance: the anti-codon, which is responsible for specific mRNA codon recognition, and the 3' end, to which the tRNAs corresponding amino acid is attached (by aminoacyl-tRNA synthetases). tRNAs cope with the degeneracy of the genetic code in two manners: having more than one tRNA (with a specific anti-codon) for a particular amino acid; and 'wobble' base-pairing, i.e. permitting non-standard base-pairing at the 3rd anti-codon position. The record is from Rfam by way of RNAcentral. Lineage: Eukaryota; Metazoa; Arthropoda; Arachnida; Araneae; Eresidae.